RNAcentral lists this ribosomal RNA (3390 nucleotides) under Pinus taeda (loblolly pine). RNAcentral describes it as "eukaryotic LSU rRNA". It matches the Rfam family "Eukaryotic large subunit ribosomal RNA". Lineage: Eukaryota; Viridiplantae; Streptophyta; Pinopsida; Pinales; Pinaceae. The record is from RNAcentral.
CCGACCUCAGCACAAGCGAGAUCACCAAAUAAGUUUAAGCAAAUAAUUAAGUGAAGGAAAAGAAACUUACAAGGAUUCCCCUAGUAGCGGCGAGUGAUUUUGGAAGAGCCUAGCAUGAAAAUUGGGCGGCAGCGUCGCCUAAAUUGUAGUCUGUAGAAGCAUCUGCAGCGAAAGACCUGGACCAAGUCCCUUGGAAGGGGGUGCCUAAGAGGGUGACAGCCCCAUCAAGCUGGGAUCCUGCCGCAUCACAAGGCGUUGUCAACGAGUCAGGUUGUUUGGGAAUGCAGCCUUAAUUGGGUGGUAAAUUCUGUCCAAGGCUAGAUAUAGGAAAGAGACCAAUGGCGAACAAGUACCACGAGGGAAAGAUGAAAAGGAUUUUGAAAGGAGAGUUAAAUAGUGCUUGAAAUUGCUGGGAGGGAAGCGGAUGGAGGCUGUCGAUGUGUCUUGGUUGGAUGUGGAACGGCUCAGGCUAGUCUGCCGCUCGACUUGAGGUGCAAACCAAUAUAGGUUGCUGCAACAUCACAAGUGUAGAUGGAUUACUACCUGUCGGUAUGCCAUUGUGGUGGUCGAGGAACGAAGCGUGUGCCCUUGUGGUGGGCCAUGUGCACCUGUGCGCUUGUGGUGUUGGCUGGUGGGCUUUCCAUUCGACCCGUCUUGAAACAUGGACCAAGGAGUCUAACAUGUGUGCGAGUCAGCAGAUUUGUAAACGUGCGAGGCGCAAGGAAGCUGACAGGUGAGAUCCCCUCUCUGCGGGGGUGCAUCGUCAACCGACCUUGAGCUUAUGCGAAGGGUUCGAGUGCGAGCACACCUGUUGGGACCUGAAAGAUGGUGAGUUAUGCCUGAGUAGGGCGAAGCCAGAGGAAACUCUGGUGGAGGCUCGUAGCAAUACUACCAUGCAAAUCAUUCGUCUGACUUUGGUAUAGGGGUGAAAGACUAAUCAAGCCAUCUAGUAGCUGGUUUCCUCCAAAGUUUCCCUCAGGAUAGCUAGAGCUCACGCAUGAGUUUUAUUGGGUAAAGAAAAUGAUUAGAGGCAUCAGGGCAUAAUGCCCUCAACCUAUUCUCAAACUUUAAAUAGCUAAGAGGGUGCAAUUGCUCCAUUGAACCACACCAUGGAAUCAAGAGCUCCAAGUGGGCCACUUUUUGUAAGAAGAGAUGGCGAUGUAGGAUGAACUGAAAGUCAAGUUACAGUGCCAAAUUGCGCGCUAACCUAGAUCCCACAAAGGGUGUUGGUUGAUUAAGACAACAGGAUGGUGUUCAUGGAAGUCGAAAUAUGUUAAGGAGUGUGUAACAACUCACCUGCUGAAUCAACUAGCCCCGAAAAUGGAUGGUGUUGAAGUGCGCAACCUAUGCUUGACAGUCAAAGAAAUUGCAUGGCUCCGAUGAGUAGGAGGAAAUGGGGGUUGUUAAGAAACCUUAGGCGUGAGCUUCGGUUGAUCGGUCCCCAGUGCAGAUCUUGCUUAUAGUAGCAAAUAUUGAAAUGAUAACUUUGAAGACUGAAGUGGGGAAAGUUUCCAUGUGAACAACACUUGGACAUGGGUUAGUCGAUCCUAAGAUAUGGGGAAGCCUUGUAUCAAGGGUGCACUCUACACGAUCAUCGAAAGGGAAUUGGGGUAAUAUUCCUAAACUGGGGCAUGGUGACGAGCGAUAAUGUUAGGAAAUCUAGAGAUGUCGUUGGGGGCCCCGGGAAGAGUUAUCUUUUCUUUCUAACAGCUUGCCAACCCUGGAAUUGAUUCACCUAGAGAUAGGUUCUAGCAUUUGGAGGAGCACCGCACAUCUUCUAGUGUCCGAUGCACCCUCAACAGCCCUUGAAAAUCUGGAGGACCGAGUAUCGUUCAUGCCCAGUCGUACUCAUAACCGCAUUAGGUCUCCAAGGUGAACAACCUUUGGUCAAUAAAACAAUGUAGGUAAGGGAAGUCGGCAAAAUGGAUCCGUAACUUCAGGAAAAGGAUUGGCUCUGAGGGCUGGGCUUAUGGCUCUGCACCCUCAACUCGUGGGCUAUUAGCAUUCUACCUGAGCUGCUCUCGCAAUGAGGGUGAGCAGUCAUGUGCCGAUUAGGCUACGACCGUAGAAUGCCCCUUGCCGGGGGAUUUUCCCCAGGCAUCGAAUAGUCAACUCAGAAGUGGUACGGACAAGGGGAAUUUGACUGUUUAAUUAAAACAAAUAAUUGUGAUGCUCCCUGCGGAUGCUGACGCAAUGUGAUUUCUGCCCAGUGCUCCAAAUGUCAAAGUGAAGAAAUUAAACCAAGUGCGGGUAAAUGGUGGGAGUAACUAUGAUUCUCUUAAGGUAGCCAAAUGCCUCGUUAUCUAAUUAGUGACAUGCAUAAAUGGAUUAACAAGAUUCGAACUAUCCCUAUCUACUAUCUAGUGAAACCAUAGCCAAGGGAACAGGCUUGGCAGAAUCAAUGGGGAAAGAAGACCCUGUUGAGCUUGGCUCUAGUCCAACUUUGUGAAAUGACUUGAGAUGUGUAGAAUAAGUGGGAGUUGUUUUCAAUGCAAGUGAAAUACCACUACUUUUAGAGUUAUUUUACUUAAUCCAUUGGGUAGAGAUGGGGCAUUGCCCCUGUUUUUGGCCUUAAGGCACAUUUCAGUGGUUUGAUCUGAGCAGAAGACAUUGUUGGGUGGGGAGUUUGGAUGGGGUGACACAUCUGUUAAAAGAUAACGCAUGUGUCAUAAGAUGAGCUCAAUGAGAACAUAAAUCUUGUGUGGAACAAAAGGGUAAAAGCUCAUUUGGUUUUGAUUUUUAGUAUGAAUGCAAUCUGUGAAAGUGUGCCUAUCAAUCCUUUAGAUUUUCAGAAUUUGAAGCUAGAGGUGUCAGAAAAGUUACCAUAGGGAUAAUUGGCUUGUGGCAGCCAAGCAUUCAUAGCGACAUUGCUUUUUGAUCCUUCGAUGUCGGCUCUUCCUAUCAUUGUGAAGAAGAAUUCACCAAGUGUUGGAUUGUUCACCCACCAAUAGGGAACGUGAGUUGGGUUUAGACCGUCAUGAAACAGGUUAGUUUUACCCUACUAAUGAACCACACUACAAUAAUAAUUCAACUUACCACAGGAGGAACCAUUGAUUCACACAAUUGGUCAUCGCGCUUAGUUGAAAAGCUAGUGGCGUGAAGCUAUCGUGUGUCGGAUUCUGACUGAAUGCCUCUAAGUCAUAAUCCACACUAGAAGUGUUGCAUGUAACUCUUCAACUGUAUCUCGACUUGUAGUAGGGGCGUCGCUUUGUCGCCCCCAGGGGCCUAUGUCAUUUGCAAAUUGUGACUGUGAAGCAUCUCGGUUGGGCUAGCUUUGAAGUUCAAUUCCAAAUGGUCGUUGAGAAGAAUCCUUUGCAGAUGACUUAAAUACAUGAUGGGGUAUUGUAAGUGGCAGAGUAGCCUUGCUGCCAUGAUCCACUGAGAUUCAAC